This 253-nucleotide ribosomal RNA is filed under the name uncultured bacterium. RNAcentral's name for it is "partial 16S ribosomal RNA". It matches the Rfam family "Bacterial small subunit ribosomal RNA", at positions 524 to 776 of the family's 1533-position model. The record is from RNAcentral.
UACAGAGGGUGCAAGCGUUAAUCGGAAUUACUGGGCGUAAAGCGUGCGUAGGCGGCCAACUAAGUCAGACGUGAAAUCCCUCGGCUUAACCGGGGAACUGCGUCUGAUACUGGAUGGCUUGAGAUUGGGAGAGGGAUGCGGAAUUCCAGGUGUAGCGGUGAAAUGCGUAGAUAUCUGGAGGAACACCGGUGGCGAAGGCGGCAUCCUGGACCGGUAUUGACGCUGAGGCGCGAAAGCCAGGGGAGCAAACGGG